This is an RNA transcript of Mauremys mutica (yellowpond turtle), 3812 nucleotides long. RefSeq lists it as uncharacterized. The record is from RefSeq and is a predicted model, not a curated record. NCBI's taxonomy places the organism in Eukaryota, Metazoa, Chordata, Testudines, Geoemydidae. The transcript has 9 exons.
CCCUCAAGUGUAGUCUGGGUACUUGUUGGUGGAUUGAGAGUGUCUGUUUUUCUUAGUGCCUGAGCCUGGGGAACUGAGUUCACUCCUCCUCUAUCUCAACUCUGCCUCCUGCCUAAUGAUCCUGAAAUUCACGCUGCUCUUUCUUGUCUAUUAUGCUGUGAUAAGGCUCGCCAGAUCUGAGGCUUCUCCGAGGAAGAGGAGGCACAGAGAGAAAAAGAAGAAACCAAAAGGUAAGCAGCCCCUGACCCCACAGCUGCGGUGGCAGACUCAGGCCCCAGGCAAAGCAGAGAAAUAGGGUCUAUUCCCCCACCUACCUCCCCUCUUCCUGCGAUGGCAAAGUCAUGCCCAGAGUCAUGCAGAGGCACUGGCUGGGGCUCCCAAGCAGCUCAAUGUCUCCUUUAUGUCUCACUUCUGACAGCUUUUGGACGCUGUGAGGAAGAGUUGGAGGAGGCUUGUGCAUCCCUAGAGACAUGCUGCCCUGUGCCCCUGGAGAAGCUCCCCUUGGUUCAGAGCCUCAGGCUCCUUGAGAGGAGGCUACAGUACGUGGCCAGACACCUGGAUGAAGUUCUGAUACCGCCGAGUGUGUCGACAUCUGCGAUGAGCCAGUUCUUCUAUUCCUCUAUGGAAUCCACCACCUCUUCCCUCUGGAGUCCCAGCUCCUUUUCCCUGAGAAAAGCCUCCGUGACUUGGGCAGAGCCCCUCUGCCACACAAGGGAGAUCAUGCCUGUCGCGAGCUGGGAAGGAUCCACUCAUCCCAUCCAAGCCCAGCCUCUCCCCAGGCCUCCUGCCCACAGCAGACGAGACCGGCGAGAGCAGACCAUAGGACUGGACCGGACAUCAGCCCAGGGCUCAGAUUUCAAUAUCCAACAGAAGCAUCUGGAGAGCCAACUGGGGGCUCCACAAACCCCCAUCCCGGGGGAGUCAUUGCUGAGUGAGUGGGACACCAAGCAGCAAUUGGAAUUAGACACAGAUCCGCCCAAUGUGGAUUUCCAGCAAAGGUCCCAAAGCCCCUGAGAUGCAACACCAGCCCUCAGCGUGCACAGGAGAUCCAGGAGCCAUGUGUCUGCCCCUCAGGAUCCCUGCCCCAAAAGGCCCACAGGAUCAUGGCAUCCCCUGAUGCCAUCCUGGCCAGGGUUGUGCCCAUGGCGGUGGUCAAGCUGCAGAAUCACGUGGCUCAGAAAUGCUCAGAGAUCCAAAUGAAGGCGUUUCCUAAGAUGGUGCGAGAGUCGCACAGAGAUGCUCCCCUCCUGAGAGAGACUGCCCUGCCUGGGCCACUCCGCCCCCCUAGGGAGCCAGGCAAGCACAGGACAGUGGCAUUCUCAACGAUGGGACAACAGCCUGCCCACCCCAUCGAACUCUACAUAAGGCGUCAUCAUCUCGUCAUGCAGAGGGGGCUGCUCACCCUGGACCCAGAGCCCUCGGCAAAGCUGCCUCACGCCGUCCAAGACAGGGGAGCCAGUGUGGAGUUCAGUGAGAUGGAGACCAAUUUCCUGCAGACAUGGAGGCAAAGCACAAGCUCCUCUUCUUCCACACAUCCUGCAACGCCAGUGGAAGAUACUACCAGGGAGACGGGCAGGAAUGAUGGCGUGGCAGGAAACCAGAUUAACCCAGAUCGCUGCACUCUGCCAGCAAGGGUGGAUCUGACAUCGCCACCUCCAGGAACCGCAAUAACAGAGAAGACACUCACAGCGACACUCCACCUAUAUAGGAGUGAGUUGAGAAAGCCCCUUACCAGUUUGAGUGGCACCAAAGGGACUGAAGAGAAGCUGGAGCUGCACAUGGAGAGGAAGGUUAUCUUGGGAGAAGGCUCCUGCCUGGGGCCAGGGGCACAGGCAGGUGAGGGCAGGGCAGAUCUUCCCAGGACCCAAUGCCACCAGGUUGCCCCAGAGGCACCAGGCUCUGAGCAGCUAACAAGAUCCACCCUUGACUCUCUCAUUGCUGGGCAGGCUGCACAUGACCUGCUGAUCAAGCACCUGAGGGAAAUGUUGAGCAGCUCCUGCCCCUGGGUCUCAGUCUGCCGCAAGGCACAUCCAGGAAAGAUGAAGGGUAAGAAAACUCAGAAGGAGACAUCUGCUGAGCUGCAUGGUCUUCGAGACAUCAUGGAUUCACAUGGGUUUGAUGGAACUGUGAAUUCAAAGCUCUCCAGGGACCAGCCGCCAAUCAAAAUCUGCAAGAAGUGCGGUAAGCUUUGACGGAAGAGACCAGCUGGCUCUGCAGGUGCUGACUUGCCCAGAGGAUCCCAUGGAAUUCCACAGCGAUGGACUCCAGGAGACUCCUCAGCAUCAUCCAACCACAACAAGAUGCCAGUGGUGUGGCUCCUUCCAGCAGACAAGAGCAAGACGCAGGAUGGAAUGGGGAAAAAGGCUCCCACCAAGCAACCAAAGAUGGUGUCCAUUGCUACGAGUACAACAGGGCUUUCGCAAGCUGGGGAGAAAGCAAUUGGGAGUCCUGACGGUUCUCCCCCAAAGUCAACAAAGACCUCCAGAGCUAGGACACCAUCCCCUUCAAGGAGCAAAGUUCUCAAACAGAUGUUAAUGUGCCUCAAGCAAACCUUCAGCAAGCUUCAAAACAAAGUGAAGUCCCGAAUGUCCAAGGACUCUCGUUCAGGAACACCUGACACUAAAUUUACAAAGCCACCCUUUUGGAAGGCAAGGGCCUCCAAGGGUGUCCGGUGUCCAUACUACUGAAUCCCACCCUGCCAGCAUGCCCACUAACAGAAGGGGCCCACAAAUUCCAACAUCUUCCUAUCAUCCAGCGGGUCUGAGGAGUGUACCCCAAAGCUUUUAGAAGUCUUUAAGAACAUGUAUUCACAUGAAUGAUCUUUGACUGAGCAUUCUCCUGAAUCACCUGUGGAGUGCAGAGUAUAAUAACGCUUCAACCGCUACUUACUGGGCUUUCCAUGAGAUAUGGAAUCAAGUUCAAGGUAUGAGUCCUUAAGUUGAAGGCACUCAAUGGCCCAAGCCCAGGAUUAUCCAAAAGACCACCUGGGAUGAAGACUGUGGUCAACAACUCCACUCCUCUCUAUAACAAUGGUAAAGGCUGGACCAAGACUGUGGAACAAACUCUCAAAGGAAUUAAGGACCAUCACAAAUGUUACCACCUCCUACAAUUUCAAGAUGCAGAGAUGGUGGAGUGCUGGGCUGGAGGAACGAGGGCACAAGAGAUAUAACAGGCAGGCAGGAGAAAAGAAGUCAGUUCCUUGUGUGUAUGCUGUGGAGGUGAAGAGAUAAUCCAGCUUUCACUGCCGUCCCACAAUUCCCAACAGUGGCUGCUCUGGUCAAUUGUUAACAAUUGUUAAUGCCACUUUCCUGGGAUCAGGUAGACAUGAAGCCCCCAGUACCCUCCCUUUAUUGUCCAGUUGAGCAAGCAUGCCUAGCAGAUCUCCAUUGUUGCAUGCAACUGCCCCAUUGACCAGGCUGGCGACAUGCUCCAGAUGUGCUCCUGCCUGGAGUAGACAGGAAAUAGUGGAUCUUCUGGGCCUGUGAGGAGAAGAGGCUGUGCAAGCACGCUAUGGACCAGUCAUCAACAUCUAUGCGCAGAUUUGUUGGGGGAUGCAGGAGGGAUAUGAUAGGGAUCACUAGCAGUGCCAUACCAGAAGGCCAGGGAGGUCAACAAUUGAUCAGGUGCCGAGCUGCAUAUUUGCUCCUUUUAUAAAGAGCUGUAUGCCCUACUUGGUGGAGACCCCACCAUGACUCCACACACCAUUGUGGAUAUCUUCCUAAACCUUUUUUCCAGAUCAUUUUUGACUAUGUUUAACAGCACUGGCCCCAGUCCAGAUGGUUGGGGGACCACCUACCCCUCACCAUUUACCU